UCACUGCAUUUACUACAUCGCGCACAGUC
RNAcentral lists this small RNA (29 nucleotides) under Bombyx mori (domestic silkworm). RNAcentral describes it as "ovarian small RNA-25431". Lineage: Eukaryota; Metazoa; Arthropoda; Insecta; Lepidoptera; Bombycidae. The record is from RNAcentral.